GUAGCUUGCUACCUGCCGGCGAGUGGCGAACGGGUGAGUAAUACAUCGGAACGUGCCCUGUAGUGGGGGAUAACUAGUCGAAAGACUAGCUAAUACCGCAUACGACCUGAGGGUGAAAGUGGGGGACCGCAAGGCCUCAUGCUAUAGGAGCGGCCGAUGUCUGAUUAGCUAGUUGGUGGGGUAAAGGCCCACCAAGGCGACGAUCAGUAGCUGGUCUGAGAGGACGAUCAGCCACACUGGGACUGAGACACGGCCCAGACUCCUACGGGAGGCAGCAGUGGGA
RNAcentral lists this ribosomal RNA (283 nucleotides) under Ralstonia solanacearum. Its description in RNAcentral is "partial 16S ribosomal RNA". It matches the Rfam family "Bacterial small subunit ribosomal RNA", at positions 75 to 358 of the family's 1533-position model. The record is from RNAcentral. Lineage: Bacteria; Pseudomonadati; Pseudomonadota; Betaproteobacteria; Burkholderiales; Burkholderiaceae.